RNAcentral lists this ribosomal RNA (254 nucleotides) under uncultured bacterium. RNAcentral's name for it is "partial 16S ribosomal RNA". It matches the Rfam family "Bacterial small subunit ribosomal RNA", at positions 524 to 776 of the family's 1533-position model. The record is from RNAcentral.
UACGUAGGGUGCGAGCGUUGACCGGAAUUAUUGGGCGUAAAGAGCUCGUAGGCGGUGUGUCACGUCGGCCGUGAAAACCUGCAGCUUAACUGUGGGCGUGCGGUCGAUACGGGCAUCACUGGAGUUCGGCAGGGGAGACUGGAAUUCCUGGUGUAGCGGUGAAAUGCGCAGAUAUCAGGAGGAACACCGGUGGCGAAGGCGGGUCUCUGGGCCGAUACUGACGCUGAGGAGCGAAAGCGUGGGGAGCAAACAGG